UGGCGUCUCCAGUAGCACAGCAGCUGUGACAGCAAGAGCAGCUCCUCUCCAGGCUCUGCAAGAUGGGCUCCCUUUGUUCAUGACGUCAGGACAGCCACCAGCCUCUCUGGGGUGAUAUGAAGAAAUACCUGCUGUUUGCCCAUCACAAGGAAACGCAGCACAUGUAGGGUCACGUGGAAAACCACACCAUCACGCAAUAAUAAAGCCUGCAGAGAACGACCCGCAGCCCAGGCCAACUCUUUCAAUACACAAAUGAGGAAACCGAGGCCCAAGCAAAGCAACUUGACCACAAUCUCAUGGCCAAAUAGUAGUGGAAUUGGGGUAAAAUUUCCUAGUUCAGUUAAUUUUUCCAGCUAUUUUGCUUUUCCAGCAGUAUGUUGUUUAGUGCCUUACAAAUAAACGGGAAAAAACAUAUUGGGGAGUUCCUCUUGUGGCUCAGCAGGUUAAGAACCUCACAUAGUGUUGGGGAAGAUGCAGAUUCCAUCCCUGACCUCACUCAGUGGGUUAAGGAUCCGGCAUUGCUGAGAGCUGCAGUGUAGGUCAAAGAAGCAGCUCGGAUCCUGUGUUUCUGGCUUAGGCCUGCAUCUGUAGCUCCAAUUCGACCCCUAGCCUGGGAACUUCCAUAUGCUACAGGUGAGGCCCAAAAAAGACAAAAAAGAAAAAAAAAAUGCAUCUUCUGCCCCACCUCAGCCCUCCAACUCUCACACUAAAGUCUCUUCUGGCUGACACUAACCUGGACCUAUGCAAGGAAGGGAAUUUGGGGAAACACAGUUCCAGCUUAAUGGAAUUGACUCCGUAUAAAGAUUUCUCACGAACAUAGGUUACCCAUGAAAAGGAAAAGGAAUGGUUACUGCAAAGGUUUGGAUCACGCCUUUCUAAAGUUUCAAUCUGGAGUUCCCAUCAUGGCGCAGUGGUUAAUGAAACCGACUAGGAACCAUGAGGUUUCGGGUUGGAUCCCUGCCCUUGCUCAGUGGGUUAACGAUCUGGCGUUGCCGUGAGCUGUGGUGUAGGUUGCAGACGUGGCUUGGAUCCCGCGUUGCUGUGGCUCUGGCGUAAGCCGGUGGCUAUAGCUCCGAUUCGACCCCUAGUCUGGGAACCUCCAUGUGCCACAGGAGCGGCCCAAGAAAUGGCCAAAAAGACAAAUAAAUAAAUAAAUAAAGUUUCAAUCCAUCAGGAAGGGGCACACUGGGGCUUUUUGAGGGUCCUGAUUAUGUUCUCUUUCUUGACCUAGAUCACUAAUACCUGGCGUUCAUUGUACUGUUGUUCUGUAAGCUAUAAGCACACAUUUUCUAAAAGCUGUGGUAUAUGUGCUAGUCACAAUAAAAAUGCCCUUUUUUUUC
Molecule: long non-coding RNA, 1340 nt
Filed under: Sus scrofa (pig)
Lineage: Eukaryota; Metazoa; Chordata; Mammalia; Artiodactyla; Suidae
Description: lncRNA (ENSSSCG00040041163.1)
Source: RNAcentral